AGAAUCAACGCUGGCGGCGUGCCUAACACAUGCAAGUCGAACGAGAAAGUGGAGCAAUCCAUGAGUAAAGUGGCGACCGGGUGAGUAACACGUGACUAACCUACCUUCGAGUGGGGGAUAACCUCGGGAAACCGGGGCCAAUACCGCAUAAAAUCUUUUGGAUCGGAAGAACUGGAGAUCAAUGGAGCAAUUCGCUUGAAGAGGGGGUCGCGGCUGAUUAGCUAGUUGGCGGGUAAUGGCCCACCAAGGCUUUGAUCGGUA
This 261-nucleotide ribosomal RNA is filed under the name uncultured bacterium. RNAcentral's name for it is "partial small subunit ribosomal RNA". It matches the Rfam family "Bacterial small subunit ribosomal RNA", at positions 26 to 285 of the family's 1533-position model. The record is from RNAcentral.